GUCCACGCCGUAACGAUGGGUACUAGGUGUGGGAGGUGUCGACUCCUCCCGUGCCGUCGCUAACGCACUAAGUACCCCGCCUGGGAGUACGGCCGCAAGGCUAAACUCAAAGGAAUUGACGGGGCCCGCACAAGCAGCGGAGCAUGUGGUUUAAUUCGACGCAACGCGAAGAACCUUACCUGGGCUUGACAUGUUGGUGACCGCCGUGGAAACACGGUUUUCCUUCGGGACACCAUCACAGGUGGUGCAUGGCUGUCGU
Molecule: ribosomal RNA, 259 nt
Filed under: uncultured bacterium
Lineage: Bacteria
Description: partial 16S ribosomal RNA
Rfam family: Bacterial small subunit ribosomal RNA
Source: RNAcentral